This 496-nucleotide ribosomal RNA is filed under the name uncultured bacterium. RNAcentral's name for it is "partial 16S ribosomal RNA". It matches the Rfam family "Bacterial small subunit ribosomal RNA", at positions 29 to 507 of the family's 1533-position model. The record is from RNAcentral.
AUGAACGCUGGCGGCGUGCCUAAUACAUGCAAGUCGAGCGAACAGACGAGGAGCUUGCUCCUCUGACGUUAGCGGCGGACGGGUGAGUAACACGUGGAUAACCUACCUAUAAGACUGGGAUAACUUCGGGAAACCGGAGCUAAUACCGGAUAAUAUAUUGAACCGCAUGGUUCAAUAGUGAAAUACGGUUUUGCUGUCACUUAUAGAUGGAUCCGCGCCGCAUUAGCUAGUUGGUAAGGUAACGGCUUACAAAGGCAACGAUGCGUAGCCGACCUGAGAGGGUGAUCGGCCACACUGGAACUGAGACACGGUCCAGACUCCUACGGGAGGCAGCAGUAGGGAAUCUUCCGCAAUGGGCGAAAGCCUGACGGAGCAACGCCGCGUGAGUGAUGAAGGUCUUCGGAUCGUAAAACUCUGUUAUUAGGGAAGAACAAAUGUGUAAGUAACUAGGCACGUCUUGACGGUACCUAAUCAGAAAGCCACGGCUAACUACGUG